This 381-nucleotide ribosomal RNA is filed under the name Haemaphysalis bispinosa. RNAcentral's name for it is "partial large subunit ribosomal RNA". The stretch from base 84 to 381 matches the Rfam family "Bacterial large subunit ribosomal RNA", at positions 2077 to 2620 of the family's 2925-position model. Lineage: Eukaryota; Metazoa; Arthropoda; Arachnida; Ixodida; Ixodidae. The record is from RNAcentral.
AAAGAUGGACUUUCAAAAAAAUUCUUUUUUAAAAUUAAAAAUUGAAGUUAUUUUUAUUUGUGAAGAAACAAUAAUAAAAAUUAGGGACAAGAAGACCCUAUGAAUUUUAAUUUUCUUAUAUUUUUAAUUAAUAAUAUAAGAAAAUUUAAUUGGGGCGAUUAAAAAAAAUUAAAAUCUUUUUUUACUAAAAAAAUGAUCCAUUAAUAAUGAUUUAAUGCAAAAAAUACUCUAGGGAUAACAGCGUAAUAAUUUUAGAUAGAUCGUAUAGAAAAAAUAGUUUGCGACCUCGAUGUUGGAUUAGGAUUCUUAUUUAAUGAAGAAGUUAAAAGAAGAAGUUUGUUCAACUUUUAAAUUCCUACAUGAUCUGAGUUCCAGACCGGA